RNAcentral lists this ribosomal RNA (111 nucleotides) under Escherichia coli DEC10A. Lineage: Bacteria; Pseudomonadati; Pseudomonadota; Gammaproteobacteria; Enterobacterales; Enterobacteriaceae. The record is from RNAcentral.
GGCGGCCUUAGCGCGGUGGUCCCACCUGACCCCAUGCCGAACUCAGAAGUGAAACGCCGUAGCGCCGAUGGUAGUGUGGGGUUUCCCCAUGCGAGAGUAGGGAACUGCCAG